Molecule: long non-coding RNA, 2063 nt
Organism: Ctenopharyngodon idella (grass carp)
Lineage: Eukaryota; Metazoa; Chordata; Actinopteri; Cypriniformes; Xenocyprididae
Exons: 2
Source: RefSeq, a predicted model, not a curated record
UUUUAAACUACAAUGUCGUAUUCGUCGAGUCUGACUGCAAGUCCAGGAUUCCGCGGGGAAAAAUUAAAGAUAGGAGGAGCACAGCGAGGAGGCCAGGCGUGAGAGGACGCGCAGGAUGUUUUCGCUUCAGCUAGCGGUGCAAACAGCCUUCAAAUAAACACAUUGCUCUUGUCCCGAAUGUGAAUGGUCACAGUGUCAAUAUGCACAGAAUUAUUUCAAAGCACAAUGAUACCACUACAAUGCAGAAUGUGAAGUCUUGAGGCUGGUCAAGGAAGACUAUAGUGAGUAUUUAACAUGAGGAUGAAAAUCACCUGAAUGUGGAACCACCUCAAAACAGCUUCUAACGACCUGGAUAAGACCUCUUACCUCCAAUUACAUCUUGAACUGUAAGCCAAUUGCUGCAAGGAUGGAUUGAGAGAGAUGUGUACCAGUAAAGAAACCAUUUAUUAGUUUUUGUGUUGCAACAUCCCCUUGCAUUUGCCAAAGAAAAUAAGGACAGGAGUGUGGAAGAAUGUAGUCGUGUUCCACAGUGUUUUAUACCAAAUGCAUGUGUGGCACCAUUAAGCAUGGCAGGGGAAACAUAACGGUAGGGUAGGGUGGGGGAAAACGCCCCCCUUAAGGACUGUCAUUUUUUUCUGUGAAACAAAAGUUAAAUGUGUCCAGAAUAGCUAUCAUAAUUUUCCACAUAAAUUAUAAACCAAGUAUAAAAAAUGUCCAGAGUUUUCAUGCUAUUAGAUUUUAAAAUUUGUACGAAGGGGGCGUUUUGCCCCACAGGUGGCUUAAAAUUAAAAAGAAUAUAAUCAAUAAUUAUGAUUUACAAAAUUAUAACAUCUUAUUUUAAAAAAUAUUGUUAGCUGAUGCUAACUGGCUAGCUAACUAUAGCUACCUGAUGCUAACUUUAAGUAAUUUUUAAAUAUAAAGUCCAAAUAUUUCUAUUCAACCACCUAGUUAGAUUACAUUUGAUUGAAAAACAAAGGAUUUGAUGUUCAGAACAGAGUAACUACAGUAGCCUAAUGAUGAUAGUGGGAAGGGGGCGUUUACCCCACAGACUAUGUUUGAAAAAAUUAUAUUUUCCCUAAAUAACACAUACUCCCUAUCUACAGGCCUUACUAUUCCAAUAUCAUAUAUAACUGUGAUGUUUUAGGGGGCGUUUUCCCCCAUACCCUAAUGCAUGUCUGCAGCAGGUGUUAGAAGGAUCUACAAAGUUGCUGGCACUUAAAAAAUGGGCCGAUACUAGGGAAUGCUGCUGAACACAAAGUAGCCAAGUAUGGAGGAUCUGUUUGGAGAUCAAAUGCAAUCCAAAACAAACCUCGAAUGUUGCGCACAAUGAAAGUUUUAAUGCUCAGCAUUCUGAAGACUUCAAGUGGCCUCCUCGGUCACUUGACCAUGAACCCAUUGAAAACCUUUGGGAAAUUAUUAACCUGAAAAGUCAUGCAGGUCUUCCAAUGAAGCUCAACUUUGGGAAGAACUUAAAGAGGAUUGGAAGGAAGUUAAGCAAGACACAUCGGCAAAGUUCAGUGAGUCAUUGCCCAGCAGAAUGGCUGCUGUAAUCAAAAGCAAAGGAGAACCAACAAAAUAUUAAUAACUGAUUACAUCGCAGUCCAUGUAUGCUUUAUUUCCUGUGAGCCUUUUUUGUUUUUCUAUGACUUUUUUUGCAUAAUACAAUAAAAAAAAAAACAUAUUUAAUUAUGCUGGAGUUUGCCAAAUAAGGUUGUCAUUAUAAUACCUUAACUAACUCUAGUUUAUUCUUCUUCCCAAUAUAACAUACUCCUCAUAUUUUGAUUUAGUAGAACCUGAAGUGUCAUUAAAAGCAAACAUUGUGCAAACAUCCCCUCCGGACAUGCCUUUUGGCCGCUACUGUUUAUUGCAAGUCCUUCUUGAAGAGCAUUGGCUAAUCCACCAGGGGGCAGAAGCCUCUAGAAUUCAUCUGAAUGUUAUAAAGAGGCUUUAGAAAGAUUAAAAAUGACAUUUGGCAUACACAUUAUAAGCACACGUUCACAUAGUGCUGUAUCCAUUGUACAUAUCCAUUCAUGUCUUUUUUUAAUUCAUUCAUUCAUUCUUGU